This 471-nucleotide ribosomal RNA is filed under the name uncultured bacterium. RNAcentral's name for it is "bacterial SSU rRNA". It matches the Rfam family "Bacterial small subunit ribosomal RNA", at positions 355 to 825 of the family's 1533-position model. The record is from RNAcentral.
UCGCGAAUCAUUCACAAUGGACGCAAGUCUGAUGAUGCCACGCCGCGUGCGGGAUGAAGGCCCUUUGGGUUGUAAACCGCUGUCAAGGGAGGGGAAACACCUAGUGUUAACAGCGCUAGGCUUGACUGCUCCCUAAAGGAAGCCCCGGCAAAACAUGUGCCAGCAGCCGCGGUAAUACAUGUGGGGCAAGCGUUGUUCGGAAUUACUGGGCAUAAAGGGUGCGUAGGCGGUUUGUUAAGUCACUGGUGAAAGUUUGCGGCCCAACCGUAAAAUUGCCUGUGAUACUGGCGAACUUGAGUGCGUGAGGGGUAGGGGGAACGAGCAGUGUAGCGGUGAAAUGCGUAGAUAUUGCUCGGAAGGCCGGAGCCGAAGGGGCCCUACUGGUACGUAACUGACGCUGAGGCACGAAAGCGUGGGGAGCAAACAGGAUUAGAUACCCUUGUAGUCCCUGAGCGGGCUGGCAAGGCGCAU